This 532-nucleotide ribosomal RNA is filed under the name Alteromonas australica. RNAcentral describes it as "bacterial SSU rRNA". It matches the Rfam family "Bacterial small subunit ribosomal RNA", at positions 383 to 907 of the family's 1533-position model. The record is from RNAcentral. Lineage: Bacteria; Pseudomonadati; Pseudomonadota; Gammaproteobacteria; Alteromonadales; Alteromonadaceae.
CUGAUGCAGCCAUGCCGCGUGUGUGAAGAAGGCCUUCGGGUUGUAAAGCACUUUCAGUUGUGAGGAAAAGUUAGUAGUUAAUACCUGCUAGCCGUGACGUUAACAACAGAAGAAGCACCGGCUAACUCCGUGCCAGCAGCCGCGGUAAUACGGAGGGUGCGAGCGUUAAUCGGAAUUACUGGGCGUAAAGCGCACGCAGGCGGUUUGUUAAGCUAGAUGUGAAAGCCCCGGGCUCAACCUGGGAUAGUCAUUUAGAACUGGCAGACUAGAGUCUUGGAGAGGGGAGUGGAAUUCCAGGUGUAGCGGUGAAAUGCGUAGAUAUCUGGAGGAACAUCAGUGGCGAAGGCGACUCCCUGGCCAAAGACUGACGCUCAUGUGCGAAAGUGUGGGUAGCGAACAGGAUUAGAUACCCUGGUAGUCCACACCGUAAACGCUGUCUACUAGCUGUUUGUGACUUUAAGUCGUGAGUAGCGAAGCUAACGCGCUAAGUAGACCGCCUGGGGAGUACGGCCGCAAGGUUAAAACUCAAAUG